This 74-nucleotide transfer RNA is filed under the name Wolbachia endosymbiont of Menacanthus eurysternus. Its description in RNAcentral is "tRNA-Val". It matches the Rfam family "tRNA". Rfam says of the family: Transfer RNA (tRNA) molecules are approximately 80 nucleotides in length. Their secondary structure includes four short double-helical elements and three loops (D, anti-codon, and T loops). Lineage: Bacteria; Pseudomonadati; Pseudomonadota; Alphaproteobacteria; Rickettsiales; Anaplasmataceae. The record is from RNAcentral.
GGGUAAUUAGCUCAGUUGGUUAGAGCACUUGUCUGACGUGCAAGAGGUCAUUGGUUCAAUUCCAGUAUUACCCA